AUUGAACGCUGGCGGCAUGCCUUACACAUGCAAGUCGAACGGGAACGGGCCUUCCUUUGCCGACGAGUGGCGAACGGGUGCGUAAUACAUCCGAACGUGCCCGCUCGUGGUGGGUAACGGGUCGCAAGCUUUGCUAGUACCUCAUACGACCUACGUCUGAGAGCAGGAGGCCUCAAGGCCGUGCGCGGGCGCAGCGUCCUGUGGCGGAUUAGGUAGUUGGUGGGGUAACAGCUUGCCAAGGCGACGAUCUGUAGCCGAUCUGAGAGCGGGAUCGGCCACAGUGGGACUGAGACACGGCCCAAACUCCUACGGGAGGCAGCAGUAGGGAAUCUUCCGCAAUGGACGCAAGUCUGACGGAGCAACGCCGCGUGAGUGAAGAAGGUUUUCGGAUCGUAAAACGCUGUUGUUAGAGAAGAACAAGUGCUAGAGUAACUGUUAGCGCCUUGACGGUAUCUAACCAGAAAGCCACGGCUAACUACGUG
This 482-nucleotide ribosomal RNA is filed under the name uncultured bacterium. Its description in RNAcentral is "partial 16S ribosomal RNA". It matches the Rfam family "Bacterial small subunit ribosomal RNA", at positions 30 to 507 of the family's 1533-position model. The record is from RNAcentral.